CAUGGAUUUUCAGGAAAAUUUGGAGUUGUCUUUGCCUCAAUUCCAGCACCAAUCAUUGCGGCUUUGUAUUGCUUUUUCUUUGCCUAUGUUGGUUCAGCAGGUCUUAGCUUACUUCAAUUUUGCAAUCUAAACAGUUUUAGGACGAAGUUUAUUAUAGGCUUCUCAAUUUUCAUAGGCUUUUCAAUCCCACAAUACUUCAAUGAGUAUACUGUUGUUAAUGGUUAUGGUCCAGUGCACACUGGAGCAAGAUGGAUACCAAUCCUCUUUUCUCAAAUAUCUCACUUUUGCUUUAGUCCUCUCUGGGAAAGUAUUUAAUUAUCUCACAUUUCCUCCUUCAUAUGCAGUUCAAUGACAUGAUCAACGUACCGUUCUCGUCAGAACUGUUUGUUGCUGGUAUGUUGGCAAUUUUCCUAGACAUCACUCUGCAUAAGAAAGACAGUGCAACAAGGAAAGAUAGAGGCAUGCAUUGGUGGGAUAGGUUCCAGUCGUUUAAGACAGAUACAAGAAGUGAGGAAUUCUACCAUCUGCCUUUCAAUCUCAACAAGUUUUUCCCAUCAAUAUGAUAUCGAAAACACAGUAAUUGUGAAGCUGGUGUUCUCCAUUGGCCAAAUAAUCCUCUAAAUAUCUCUUUGUGGGUAUGACAUUAAUGCAUGAAAUCUUGUUUUGUUCCCCUUAUAUAUGUCAACUCCAUGAAAGAAAACCUACAGUGUUUUUAACAUCAAAUCUUUGUGUUUCAAGGCACAAUUUGUUGCAGCGAUCCAUUUUUCCCAUAAAUCAUGAUCCUUGAAAUGGUAAAAACAUAACAUUAUACAUAUAUCUAUUGCAAUGUAGUAGCACAUUACUUAUUGAUUUAUAUUUUUUGGUUUUCCUUAGACUGUCCUAGACAA
RNA transcript from Ziziphus jujuba (common jujube), 887 nucleotides. RefSeq lists it as uncharacterized. Lineage: Eukaryota; Viridiplantae; Streptophyta; Magnoliopsida; Rosales; Rhamnaceae. The transcript is spliced from 2 exons. The record is from RefSeq and is a predicted model, not a curated record.